CGUGUAGGCGGAGCUGCAAGUCAGAUGUGAAAUCCCGGGGCUCAACCCUGGAACUGCAUUUGAAACUGUAGCCCUUGAGUAUCGGAGAGGCAAGCGGAAUUCCUAGUGUAGCGGUGAAAUGCGUAGAUAUUAGGAGGAACACCAGUGGCGAAGGCGGCUUGCUGGACGACAACUGACGCUGAGGCGCGAAAGCGUGGGGAGCAAACA
Molecule: ribosomal RNA, 207 nt
Filed under: uncultured Eubacteriales bacterium
Lineage: Bacteria; Bacillati; Bacillota; Clostridia; Eubacteriales
Description: uncultured Clostridiales bacterium partial 16S ribosomal RNA
Rfam family: Bacterial small subunit ribosomal RNA
Source: RNAcentral